RNAcentral lists this ribosomal RNA (701 nucleotides) under Enterobacter hormaechei. RNAcentral describes it as "bacterial SSU rRNA". It matches the Rfam family "Bacterial small subunit ribosomal RNA", at positions 68 to 758 of the family's 1533-position model. The record is from RNAcentral. Lineage: Bacteria; Pseudomonadati; Pseudomonadota; Gammaproteobacteria; Enterobacterales; Enterobacteriaceae.
GGUAACAGGAAGCAGCUUGCUGCUUCGCUGACGAGUGGCGGACGGGUGAGUAAUGUCUGGGGAACUGCCUGAUGGAGGGGGAUAACUACUGGAAACGGUAGCUAAUACCGCAUAACGUCGCAAGACCAAAGAGGGGGACCUUCGGGCCUCUUGCCAUCGGAUGUGCCCAGAUGGGAUUAGCUAGUAGGUGGGGUAACGGCUCACCUAGGCGACGAUCCCUAGCUGGUCUGAGAGGAUGACCAGCCACACUGGAACUGAGACACGGUCCAGACUCCUACGGGAGGCAGCAGUGGGGAAUAUUGCACAAUGGGCGCAAGCCUGAUGCAGCCAUGCCGCGUGUAUGAAGAAGGCCUUCGGGUUGUAAAGUACUUUCAGCGGGGAGGAAGGCGAUAAGGUUAAUAACCUUGUCGAUUGACGUUACCCGCAGAAGAAGCACCGGCUAACUCCGUGCCAGCAGCCGCGGUAAUACGGAGGGUGCAAGCGUUAAUCGGAAUUACUGGGCGUAAAGCGCACGCAGGCGGUCUGUCAAGUCGGAUGUGAAAUCCCCGGGCUCAACCUGGGAACUGCAUUCGAAACUGGCAGGCUAGAGUCUUGUAGAGGGGGGUAGAAUUCCAGGUGUAGCGGUGAAAUGCGUAGAGAUCUGGAGGAAUACCGGUGGCGAAGGCGGCCCCCUGGACAAAGACUGACGCUCAGGUGCGAAA